This 450-nucleotide ribosomal RNA is filed under the name uncultured bacterium. RNAcentral's name for it is "bacterial SSU rRNA". It matches the Rfam family "Bacterial small subunit ribosomal RNA", at positions 329 to 793 of the family's 1533-position model. The record is from RNAcentral.
CUCCAGACUCCUACGGGAGGCAGCAGUGGGGGAUAUUGGACAAUGGGGGAAACCCUGAUCCAGCGACGCCGCGUGAGUGAAGAAGUAUUUCGGUAUGUAAAGCUCUGUCAGCAGGGAAGAAAGAAAUGACGGUACCUGACCAAGAAGCCCCGGCUAACUACGUGCCAGCAGCCGCGGUAAUACGUAGGGGGCAAGCGUUAUCCGGAAUUACUGGGUGUAAAGGGAGCGUAGACGGCGACGCAAGUCUGAAGUGAAAUGCCAGUGCUCAACACUGGAACUGCUUUGGAAACUGUGUGGCUAGAGUGCAGGAGAGGUAAGUGGAAUUCCUAGUGUAGCGGUGAAAUGCGUAGAUAUUAGGAGGAACACCAGUGGCGAAGGCGGCUUACUGGACUGUAACUGACGUUGAGGCUCGAAGGCGUGGGGAGCAAACAGGAUUAGAUACCCUUGUAU